UUUAAAAUUUAAAUUCCAUUGCUCUCAAUUUGUUUGGUUUCUUACAAUUAAAAAAAUCAUUAUUAAAUACAAGCAAUAUAAUUUUUAAAAAAUUUGAAUUUUGACGUUAUAAAAUUUUCAUAGACAUUUGAACUUUGACCUAGCCCAUCAGUCUGUUUCAAAAAUCAAAUGUAGUCGUCAAGCACCCAAGUUUACCCAGGGCCUGAUGGCUUUUUUUUCACAGCCAAUAGAUCAAUCAACCAGGCAAUUGUAAGAUGCAUAAUCAAAUUGCACUUUUGGAUUAGUUGGGGGUUUUUUUGUUAAAAGGCAUAUUAGUGGCAACCGAGACCAAACCGGGCGCCUUUUCCGAAUAAAGAGGAGGCAGGCAUGACUUGCUGUUUUCAGGGGCGGCGCCAUGGCAACAACGGGGGAGGACAGCGAACUGGAGAGCGGCUGGCAGAGGAAGGAGGCCACCGAGGUGACUAAACGAGGGCAGGGGAUUUGGCUCUUAUUGCAAAGAGAAAGAGGAGGGAGGCGAAGUCUUCCGAGUUUCUCCGGAUUUCCACUUUAGGUGAGGUGGUCUUAAUUUCGCAGGUCACGUGUGUGUGUGUUUUUUUUUUUUUAGGGUGGUUGUUUUUGUUUUUCUGACGAGUUCCUCCUCCCGCGUUCAGGCGGCUACAGAGUCUGAGUGAUGGACUGACUUUAGAGGGCGUGCUCGUCCUCUUUGCUCUCCGCGGCGACGUGGCCGUCCAUGUCGGGCCACAGAUCCAUAUUCCUGCGCAGCGAGACAAUGAUGGGAGCCAGAGAGGUCUUGGCCAGCUGAGACGGGUGGUUGAUGGUGUCGGCGUCCAGGGCUACCAACUGCAGUGUGCGGGCCAACUCGAAGAUGCGCUCGAUCUCGCUCUGAACCUCAGCUACGCCCCGUCCGGCAAACACACGAGAGGAAGCGGGCGAAUUGGGCCCGGCGUGACGCCUGAUGGAGCCAACACAAACAUAAACU
Hippocampus zosterae (dwarf seahorse) is the source of this 979-nucleotide long non-coding RNA. RefSeq lists it as uncharacterized. The transcript has 3 exons. NCBI's taxonomy places the organism in Eukaryota, Metazoa, Chordata, Actinopteri, Syngnathiformes, Syngnathidae. The record is from RefSeq and is a predicted model, not a curated record.